Molecule: long non-coding RNA, 307 nt
Organism: Poecilia latipinna (sailfin molly)
Lineage: Eukaryota; Metazoa; Chordata; Actinopteri; Cyprinodontiformes; Poeciliidae
Exons: 2
Source: RefSeq, a predicted model, not a curated record
GGUUGUGUUUGCUGUGCGCCCCAACAGACUAGAUGAACACUGGAAAUAGAGAAACUUCUGAUGGUUUUCUUCUUUGCACUCAUCGAAGGAAGGAACUGCAAUGGCUGCUCAGAAGAGGGAGGCCAGAACUGUUCUGGGUCGCAGAGAUGAUCCUCUGGAGAACUGCACACAGAAACAGUUUGUCAGGAUUUAAUGGAGCUGUGGUGGAAGGACACCAAGAGUUUCUGGUUCAGAGGAAGUGUCAUGUAAAAUUGACUUUUUUCAGCUUUACAUCAUGUUAAAAUGUCAUUCCCUCAUCGAAAACAAA